CAAGACUCGAAGUGUGGCCCCAGGGGCUUGGCCAACAAGAAGCCUGUGGCAAUUCCUGACGCAGUAGUUCUGGGAAGUUGAUUUACCCAAUAAACCUCCCUGCAUGGGCUCAGUUUAAGUUUGCAGCUUACUAUAAAUAAAUGUUUGUUCAAUGAACACAACUGAAUGGGCAGGCUAGCUUGGCUAAUAGUAUCUAUGAUUUAGCUACUCUAGAGCCUUCCAAAGGUAUCAGGUGUGCCUUAUCCAUUAGCACAGAGAGGCACAGGGCUGAGCAGGUGAAGGGAGUACACCGCUGUGGUUUGACCUGCUCAAUAUCCCUUCUUCCUGAAACAGAAUCUAUCUUUUCUUCUUGGGGAGCCACCCCUCCACUACUUUUAGCCCUUGGCUUAGGUUCUUCUUUUAAGACUCAGUUCUACCAGGAGGUAACCUCUGGUAAAUUCUCAAAUCCUAGUGCCAGGGUUAGGCAUGCGAUCAAGGCAAUAUAUCCAAGAAGCGGUAUGGGAGGCAAUUUGAGCCAAUGAGAUGCAACUCAAUACCUGGAGCCCCUGGGCCAGAGACUUGGAGUUUGUAUAUCUGCAAUUGUUGGGGUUUUGCCUUCUCUCCAAGAAAGCCUGAGUGAGGAUGAAGACAACAGGAUAAAGCAGAAACGAGAGGGAGAGAUGGAUUCCUCCUGACACCAUUUGAGCUCCUCCUUCUCCAGCUGAGCGUGAGCUAGCCCUGCAUUUUCCCGUUGCGUGGGCUCGUAAAUUCUCUUUGUGCUUGAGUGGGUUUGAGGUGGGCAUCUUUCACCUAAAUACAAUGGCAAACUGAGAGGGUACCUUCUGUUAUCUCUUCACCAGCAGAGUGGAAAAGCAACAGAGUCCUCCUUGUGACCUGAAUUAUAGAUUUCACAGCUCUUUUCAAGGGUUAGCCUCUGUGUUGACUUUUGGUCUUCCCAACUCAGGUGCUUGAUUUAAGCUCUAGUCUGAAAUUAAUUCCACAUUUUGUAAAAUAAGGAGGAAACAGGAGCUGGUGAGGAAGCAUCAACAUUUUACAAUAAGAUCGAUUUAUAUAAAAUUUGCUAAACAUCUGCCAGUGUAUCCACUGCCGAGCCUGGAUUAUCAUCUCCAGCAUGGAGUACUGUCUUUUUCUUAACUGCAUGGGAGCCAUUCUGAGAAACAGUAGGAAAUAACUUUGUUAAAAGAUGGAGAAGAGUCAUCUGGACAAUGGAAAUUAGUAUUCUAUUACCUUUCAAGUUUGAUGAGUAUGGGUUUGGGGUUUAGUAAGUAGUAAAUAUGGUUUGCAUGUCUGUGUCUCUGGCAAGAGGAUAUAUAUCUCUGAAUAGAACUUGGUCAGCAAAUAUAAACUGCCUUUAGGUUCAUAUAGUUUGACAAACAUGCUUUUCUAACCUGUGGGUCAGAUGGAGAUGUGGUUCUUUCUUGUUCCCUGCAGACACCCUGGUCUCCCUUUGUAUUAGUCCAUUUUCACACUGCUAUAAAGAAUACCUGAGACUGGGUAAUUUAUUAAAAAAAAAGAGGUUUAAUUGAUUCACAGUUGAGCAUGGCUGGAGAGGCUGCAGGAAACUUACAAUCAUGGUGAAAGGCAAAGGGGGAAGCAAGGCGUGUCUUACAUGGUGGGAGGAGAGAGAGAGACAGCAAGGGAAGGGGACGUGCUACAUUUUUAAACCAUCAGAUCUCAUAAGAACUCUCUCACUAUCACAAGAACAGCAUGGGGGAAACCACGCCCAUGAUCCAAUCACCUCCCACUGGUUCCUCCCUCAACACUUAGGGAUUAUAAUUCAAGAUGAGAUUUGGAUGGGGACAGAAAGCCAAACCAUAUCACCCUUCUUCUACAUAUCCAAAAUGUUCCCUACCUUUUCAAUUCAAGCCAUGUGUGAGAUUGGGAAAGUUCUCAAUGUGCUUCAGUGAUCUUAUCUGUAAAAUGAGCAGCUUGGACUAGAUCAAUGGUUCCAACUUUAAAAAAAGGAGUAGAAUUCUUUGUUCAAACAGAACUUACACUGAACCCCCAUAAAUAAACAGAUAAAACUGUUGCUAUUAAAAUGUGGGUGGGACCUGGAAGCCUCCUUGGUUGGCCUCAAGGAUGGCUCUUGAGGUACCUUCAUGAGCCUUUAAGACUCAGAUGAACAGCCAGGCCUGGUGGUUCAUGCCUGUAAUCCCGGCACUUUGGGAGGCCAUGGAGGGCGGCUGACCUGAGGUCAGGAGUUCGAGACCAGCCUGGCCAACUUGGCAAAACCUAGUCUCUACUAAAAAUACAAAAAUUAGCCAGGUGUGGUGGCGGGCACCUGUAGUCCCAGCUACUCAGGAGGCUGAGGCAGGAGAAUCUCUUGAACUCGGGAGGUAGAGGUUGCAGUGAGCCGAGAUUGCACCACUUCACUCCAGCCUGGGCAACAGAGAGAGACUCCAUCUCAAAAAAAAGACUCAGAUGAACUAUUUCAGAGCCUCAGACCAGAUGUUCUCCAAGAUCUUUUCCAUCUCCCAACAUUGCAGUCCUGUUUUUAAGUGCCACAUCUUCUGUGAAGCCUUUUUAAUACCCUGACUCAUGCAGAUUGCUUCUUUUUCUGUGCCACUUAGCGUUUGUGACUAUGCACACACACUGCCCGUGUUUGUACACUGAACCACGUAUGGAGAUUGUCUUUCUUUGAAGCUUGUACCUCUAUGCAUUUCUUUUGGAAACUGACUCAAAACUGACUAGUAAGGUACAGAAUGUAACUGAAAGAACUCAGGAAAUGGGGAGAUAAAUUUUGUUCACAGUCCAGGGAAAGGUCUGCCCUCCUGGGGCAAGUCGCCUGUGCUGGCAUAUGGUGAGCUGCUAGCCCAAAGCAAAUAAAAUCUGGAUAGAUAUGAAGCAUGGGUACCAGGCACAGAUGGGCGGCACAGACCUAAGGUCCCCAUAAUUGGUCCGUCUCCCAGAUCUUUUUUUCCUGGUGCUCGUGUUGGCCAAGCUGUGGUAGUUGGAAGGCCAUGGAAGAUGUUUGCAUAGCCUCACCUUUCAGCGUCACUGGGCCAGCCACUGCAGUAGAUGGUUAGGUUACUACUAAAGACACCAUCAGGGGGAAAAGCCUGGGCUUGUCUCUACUACCCCACCUGCCUUAGUUGUUUUCUUUCCACUGUGGGUCGAGUUCUGCUUUCCUGAAUAGCGGGCUUUUUUACUGUCAUCCUCAGUCUGGGGUUAUGUGUAAACUUUAGGGAGCUUAGAAACAUACCUCACACUGGAUGUGAUUUUUGCAAGACCAGCCAUGUUCAGUGGGACCUACCCUAGGGCAGUAUGUAGUGAACAGAUUCUGGAGGCUCAGGAAGAGACAUUAUGGCUGGAGCACCACCUAGUGGCAGUGAAGAACAGUGCAUGUGAUGAACCAAUGAUCUUCCCAGUGAAGUGUAAAUGGGAGCAUUUCUCAAGGAUGGAUCAUAACUGACUAUUGUGUGUCUCAAGGUUGGCUCCAAACCAGCAGAAGCUGAAUAAAGAACUGUGAACUUGGAAUGACUGUGGGACGCUAGGCUCUUACUGGUCCUAACUGAAGACUUUUUCCCAACAGCGAGCAAUGGGGCUUCUUUUAACCAACUCUAUUUACAACCUUAGAUUCAUUCCGUUCUUUGCAAAGUACUGGAUUUCAACACUUAAUUAGCAAUAACCACAUGAACCUACCCUGGCAAGCCCUUUAACAACUCUGAAUUUUCCCUCUCAGUGAGCUACUACUUAAUUCAGUAAAUUUCUCCCUAUCCUGUAUUCCUGUGGCUAGCAAGUCAAUAGACUCAGCUUUUAUUUUAUUUUGAGUUGGAGUCUCGCUCUGUCAUUCAGGCUAGAGUGCAGUAGCUUCAUUUUGGCUCACUGCAACCUCUGCCUCCCGGGUUCAAGCGAUUCUCUUGCCUCAGCCUCCUGGGUAGCUGGGACUACAGGCAUGUGCCACCAUGCCCAGCUAAUUUCUGCAUUUCUAGUGGAGAUGGGGUUUCACCAUGUUGGCCAGGCUGGUCUUGAACUCCUCACCUCAAGUGAUCCACCGGCCUCGGCCUCCCAAAGUGCUGGGAUUACAGGCAUGAGCCAGUGCUCCUGACCUCAACUUUUAAUUUUUAUCUAUCGAUCUAGUCUAUUAUUACCCGCUACUUACCUACCCAUCCAUCCAUUCAUCCAUCCAUCCAUCUGCCCAUCCUUUUUUUUGUUUAUUAGCUCUGGUCUUUGUUAUAUUUGUUGAUAGGCCCAAGUAAAUUAGUAUGUGUAAAACUCACUUAAAACAGUGCUUAGCACAUGGUAAGCAUAAUAUGUGAUAGCCCUUAUGAUCUAGUAACUCACCAGUAUCUUGUGUGUAUUAGAACAAUGUGUCUCUGUAAUAUUUUAAUUAUAUCUCUAUAAGAGCAUACAUAAAUGACAAUAUAUAAAUCUCAAUAACAGAAUGUUUCUAACCCAAGUUUUAAGUAAUGAUAUGUGUUCAGGAAUACUUCAUCUGGCAUCUAGGGGAAUGGUUGGGAAGAUUUUGAGCUUCUCCAGUGGGAAAAAGGCUGGCAUAUUCAGGUCUAACUUCAGAGUCAAAGUCUUUGAAGUUAAUAAAUAGUUUUUAAUUUUGA
This 4556-nucleotide long non-coding RNA is filed under the name Homo sapiens (human). RNAcentral's name for it is "PREDICTED lncRNA (TCONS_00212673)". Lineage: Eukaryota; Metazoa; Chordata; Mammalia; Primates; Hominidae. The record is from RNAcentral.